Molecule: ribosomal RNA, 301 nt
Filed under: uncultured bacterium
Lineage: Bacteria
Description: partial 16S ribosomal RNA
Rfam family: Bacterial small subunit ribosomal RNA
Source: RNAcentral
CAGCAGCCACGGUAACACGGAGGGUGCAAGCGUUAAUCGGAAUUACUGGGCGUAAAGCGCACGCAGGCGGUCUGACAAGUCAGAUGUGAAAUCCCCGGGCUUAACCUGGGAACUGCAUUUGAAACUGUCAGGCUGGAGUCUUGUAGAGGGGGGUAGAAUUCCAGGUGUAGCGGUGAAAUGCGUAGAGAUCUGGAGGAAUACCGGUGGCGAAGGCGGCCCCCUGGACAAAGACUGACGCUCAGGUGCGAAAGCGUGGGGAGCAAACAGGAUUAGAUACCCGAGUAGUCCCUGUCUCUUAUAC